Molecule: ribosomal RNA, 456 nt
Filed under: uncultured bacterium
Lineage: Bacteria
Description: bacterial SSU rRNA
Rfam family: Bacterial small subunit ribosomal RNA
Source: RNAcentral
GCACAAGCGGUGGAGCAUGUGGUUUAAUUCGAUGCAACGCGAAGAACCUUACCUGGUCUUGACAUCCACGGAAGUUUUCAGAGAUGAGAAUGUGCCUUCGGGAACCGUGAGACAGGUGCUGCAUGGCUGUCGUCAGCUCGUGUUGUGAAAUGUUGGGUUAAGUCCCGCAACGAGCGCAACCCUUAUCCUUUGUUGCCAGCGGUCCGGCCGGGAACUCAAAGGAGACUGCCAGUGAUAAACUGGAGGAAGGUGGGGAUGACGUCAAGUCAUCAUGGCCCUUACGACCAGGGCUACACACGUGCUACAAUGGCGCAUACAAAGAGAAGCGACCUCGCGAGAGCAAGCGGACCUCAUAAAGUGCGUCGUAGUCCGGAUUGGAGUCUGCAACUCGACUCCAUGAAGUCGGAAUCGCUAGUAAUCGUGGAUCAGAAUGCCACGGUGAAUACGUUCCCGGGC